Molecule: ribosomal RNA, 304 nt
Filed under: uncultured bacterium
Lineage: Bacteria
Description: partial 16S ribosomal RNA
Rfam family: Bacterial small subunit ribosomal RNA
Source: RNAcentral
CAGCAGCAGCCGCGGGAAUACGAAGGGUGCAAGCGUUACUCGGAAUUACUGAGCGUAAAGCGUGCGUAGGUGGUGGUUUAAGUCCGUUGUGAAAGCCCUGGGCUCAACCUGGGAAUUGCAGUGGAUACUGGGUCACUAGAGUGUGGUAGAGGAUAGUGGAAUUUCCGGUGUAGCAGUGAAAUGCGUAGAGAUCGGAAGGAACAUCUGUGGCGAAGGCGACUAUCUGGGCCAACACUGACACUGAGGCACGAAAGCGUGGGGAGCAAACAGGAUUAGAUACCCCAGUAGUCCCUGUCUCUUAUAC